Molecule: ribosomal RNA, 255 nt
Filed under: uncultured bacterium
Lineage: Bacteria
Description: partial 16S ribosomal RNA
Rfam family: Bacterial small subunit ribosomal RNA
Source: RNAcentral
UACAGAGGUCUCAAGCGUUUGUUCGGAUUCAUUGGGCGUAAAGGGUGUGUAGGUGGCGCCGUAAGUCGGGUGUGAAAUUUCGGAGCUUAACUCCGAAACUGCAUUCGAUACUGCGGUGCUUGAGGACUGGAGAGGAGACUGGAAUUCAUGGUGUAGCAGUGAAAUGCGUAGAGAUCAGGAGGAACACCGGUGGCGAAGGCGGAUCUCUGGGCCAUUACUGACGCUGAGGAGCGAAAAGCGUGGGGAGCGAACAGG